AGGGUUCGAUUCUGGCUCAGGAUGAACGCUGGCGGCGUGCCUAAUACAUGCAAGUCGAACGAGGUAGCAAUACCGAGUGGCGAACGGGUGAGUAACACGUAGGUAACCUGCCCUUAAGCUUGGGAUACCCAGAGGAAACUUUGGCUAAUACCGGAUAACAACAGAGAAGGCAUCUUCUUUGCUUGAAAGGCCCCUUCAAGGGUCACUUAAGGAUGGACCUGCGGCGCAUUAGCUAGUUGGUGAGAUAACAGCCCACCAAGGCGAGGAUGCGUAGCCGAACUGAGAGGUUGAUCGGCCACAUUGGAACUGAGACACGGUCCAAACUCCUACGGGAGGCAGCAGUAAGGAGUUUUCGGCAAUGGGGGAAACCCUGACCGAGCAACGCCGCGUGAGCGAUGACGGCCCUAUGGGUUGUAAAGCUCUGUUGUAAGCCAUGAAUGAUAGCUUGAGGAAAUGCAAGUUAUUUGACGACAGCUUACCAGAAAGCCACGGCUAACUACGUGCCAGCCGCUGC
This 514-nucleotide ribosomal RNA is filed under the name uncultured bacterium. RNAcentral describes it as "bacterial SSU rRNA". It matches the Rfam family "Bacterial small subunit ribosomal RNA", at positions 8 to 518 of the family's 1533-position model. The record is from RNAcentral.